This 423-nucleotide ribosomal RNA is filed under the name uncultured bacterium. RNAcentral's name for it is "bacterial SSU rRNA". It matches the Rfam family "Bacterial small subunit ribosomal RNA", at positions 30 to 457 of the family's 1533-position model. The record is from RNAcentral.
AUUGAACGCUGGCGGCAUGCCUUACACAUGCAAGUCGAACGGCAGCACGGGAGCAAUCCUGGUGGCGAGUGGCGAACGGGUGAGUAAUAUAUCGGAACGUGCCCAGUCGUGGGGGAUAACGUAGCGAAAGCUACGCUAAUACCGCAUACGAUCUAUGGAUGAAAGCGGGGGAUCGCAAGACCUCGCGCGAUUGGAGCGGCCGAUAUCAGAUUAGGUAGUUGGUGAGGUAAAGGCUCACCAAGCCGACGAUCUGUAGCUGGUCUGAGAGGACGACCAGCCACACUGGGACUGAGACACGGCCCAGACUCCUACGGGAGGCAGCAGUGGGGAAUUUUGGACAAUGGGCGCAAGCCUGAUCCAGCAAUGCGCGUGCAGGAUGAAGGCCUUCGGUGUAACUGCUUUGUACGGUAACGAAACGGUGAG